This 907-nucleotide ribosomal RNA is filed under the name uncultured bacterium. RNAcentral describes it as "bacterial SSU rRNA". It matches the Rfam family "Bacterial small subunit ribosomal RNA", at positions 493 to 1399 of the family's 1533-position model. The record is from RNAcentral.
UCAUAUGGAUUGUGCAGCAGCGCGCGGUAAAUACGGAGGGUGCACGCGUUAAUCGGACUUACUGGGCGUAAAGCGCACGCAGGCUGGUUUGUUAAGUCAGAUGUGAAAUCCCCGGGCUCAACCUGAGAACUGCAUUGAAACUGGCAAGCUAGAGUCUCGUAGAGGGGGGUAGAAUUUCCAGGUGUAGCGGUGAAAUGCGUAGAGAUCUGCAGGAAUACCGGUGGCGAAGGCGGCCCCCUGGACGAAGACUGACGCUCAGGUGCGAAAGCGUGGGGAGCAAACAGGAUUAGAUACCCUGGUAGUCCACGCUGUAAACGAUGUCGAUUUGGAGGUUGUGCCUCUGAGGCGUGGCUUCCGGAGCUAACGCGUUAAAUCGACCGCCUGGGGAGUACGGCCGCAAGGUUAAAACUCAAAUGAAUUGACGGGGGCCCGCACAAGCGGUGGAGCAUGUGGUUUAAUUCGAUGCAACGCGAAGAACCUUACCUACUCUUGACAUCCAGAGAACUUUCCAGAGAUGGAUUGGUGCCUUCGGGAACUCUGAGACAGGUGCUGCAUGGCUGUCGUCAGCUCGUGUUGUGAAAUGUUGGGUUAAGUCCCGCAACGAGCGCAACCCUUAUCCUUUGUUGCCAGCGGUUCGGCCGGGAACUCAAAGGAGACUGCCAGUGAUAAACUGGAGGAAGGUGGGGAGGACGUCAAGUCAUCAUGGCCCUUACGAGUAGGGCUACACACGUGCUACAAUGGCGUAUACAAAGAGAAGCGACCUCGCGAGAGCAAGCGGACCUCAUAAAGUACGUCGUAGUCCGGAUUGGAGUCUGCAACUCGACUCCAUGAAGUCGGAAUCGCUAGUAAUCGUAGAUCAGAAUGCUACGGGGAAUACGUUCCCGGGCCUUGUACACACCGCCCGUCA